This 465-nucleotide ribosomal RNA is filed under the name Vreelandella stevensii. RNAcentral's name for it is "partial 16S ribosomal RNA". It matches the Rfam family "Bacterial small subunit ribosomal RNA", at positions 338 to 795 of the family's 1533-position model. The record is from RNAcentral. Lineage: Bacteria; Pseudomonadati; Pseudomonadota; Gammaproteobacteria; Oceanospirillales; Halomonadaceae.
CCUACGGGAGGCUGCAGUGGGGAAUAUUGGACAAUGGGGGGAACCCUGAUCCAGCCAUGCCGCGUGUGUGAAGAAGGCCCUCGGGUUGUAAAGCACUUUCAGUGAGGAAGAACGCCUGGUGGUUAAUACCCAUCAGGAAAGACAUCACUCACAGAAGAAGCACCGGCUAACUCCGUGCCAGCAGCCGCGGUAAUACGGAGGGUGCGAGCGUUAAUCGGAAUUACUGGGCGUAAAGCGCGCGUAGGUGGCUUGAUAAGCCGGUUGUGAAAGCCCCGGGCUCAUCCUGGGAACGGCAUCCGGAACUGUCAAGCUAGAGUGCAGGAGAGGAAGGUAGAAUUCCCGGUGUAGCGGUGAAAUGCGUAGAGAUCGGGAGGAAUACCAGUGGCGAAGGCGGCCUUCUGGACUGACACUGACACUGAGGUGCGAAAGCGUGGGUAGCAAACAGGAUUAGAUACCCUGGUAGUC